RNAcentral lists this unclassified non-coding RNA (902 nucleotides) under Hevea brasiliensis (rubber tree). Lineage: Eukaryota; Viridiplantae; Streptophyta; Magnoliopsida; Malpighiales; Euphorbiaceae. The record is from RNAcentral.
UGUUGAUGUUGAAUUUUUACAGAGGUUCGUUUCUCUUCUGCUUUAUUUUUCCUUUUUGUUUCUUGGCCGAAUGAUUACUUUGUGAUAAGUUGGGAAAUUUCAGCUUAAUUCUGAGAUCAAUUCUGUGUGUGCGCGCGCGCGCGCGCGUAUGUAUGUAUUUAUGUAUUUUCCCUUACUAGACUUUGUAUCGGUGAUCGGAUUGGGAAUUAGGUGAAUUUAGUUCUCUUGUAUCUGAGGAUGCUGAACUGUGUUCUGAAAAUGCUAUACUUAAGCUUCUUCUUUUUUCUUUUUUAAGAAAAAACAAUUUUUUCCCUUUGAUUUUCCCCCCUUUAAAAAGCCUUUGCUUUCCUUUAUAUCUUAAUUUUCUGGAAAUGGAAAAUUUCUUUUAAGUGAACCUUAAUGGUGUCCGGUGUUUUUCUUUUUGUCCACAAAUAGUAAGUAAUUUGCGAUUUAGUAAUUCUAUUUUAUUUCCUUUUUCCAAUUUUUUCUCAGCAACCAAACAGGGCAUUUGUGUUUGGUCGUUGGUGGGUAAGCUAAUGGCUCUUCUAUGGUCCUUUUAACUUGUUAAAAAACUCGUUUUAUUUAGCAUGUAUACCCUUUUAGGUUGCCAAUUUAACUAGAAAGUGCCUACCUUUGUUGCAACGAAGGAUCACAAUUUUUGGGUUUAUGCUUUCUUCAACUAAAUGACUUCUUCUUCUUCAUUCUUUUUUAUUUUUUUCAAAAAUAUUUUUUCACAAGACUAUGUUUCCUCGUAUUGUAUUGCUGAAAAGUACCUGUUCUCUUCCACUGUUCUAGUAUUUUACAAUUUUAUAUAUCGAAGUUUCUGUUCAGCUCCAUGACUUAUCCAAUUUGAAGAUAUUGACCUUUGAGUCCUCUACAGAAGAAGGGCAAUGAACCCUGGA